RNAcentral lists this ribosomal RNA (437 nucleotides) under uncultured Ruminococcus sp. RNAcentral's name for it is "partial 16S ribosomal RNA". It matches the Rfam family "Bacterial small subunit ribosomal RNA", at positions 341 to 792 of the family's 1533-position model. The record is from RNAcentral. Lineage: Bacteria; Bacillati; Bacillota; Clostridia; Eubacteriales; Oscillospiraceae.
ACGGGAGGCAGCAGUGGGGAAUAUUGGGCAAUGGGCGAAAGCCUGACCCAGCGACGCCGCGUGAGGGAAGAAGGUCUUCGGAUUGUAAACCUCUGUUGACAGGGAAGAAGAAAGUGACGGUACCUGUCGAGGAAGCCACGGCUAACUACGUGCCAGCAGCCGCGGUAAUACGUAGGGAGCGAGCGUUGUCCGGAAUUACUGGGUGUAAAGGGAGCGUAGGCGGGAUGGCAAGUCAGAUGUGAAAACUAUGGGCUCAACCCAUAGACUGCAUUUGAAACUGUUGUUCUUGAGUGAAGUAGAGGUAAGCGGAAUUCCUAGUGUAGCGGUGAAAUGCGUAGAUAUUAGGAGGAACAUCGGUGGCGAAGGCGGCUUACUGGGCUUUUACUGACGCUGAGGCUCGAAAGCGUGGGGAGCAAACAGGAUUAGAUACCCUGGUA